This 253-nucleotide ribosomal RNA is filed under the name uncultured bacterium. RNAcentral describes it as "partial 16S ribosomal RNA". It matches the Rfam family "Bacterial small subunit ribosomal RNA", at positions 524 to 776 of the family's 1533-position model. The record is from RNAcentral.
GACAGAGGUUGCAAACGUUGUUCGGAAUCACUGGGCAUAAAGCGCACGUAGGCGGUCUGUUAAGUCAGGUGUGAAAGCCCCCGGCUCAACCGGGGAACAGCAUUUGAUACUGGCAGACUCGAGGAUGGUAGGGGUGAGUGGAACUCCAGGUGGAGCGGUGAAAUGCGUAGAUAUCUGGAGGAACACCGGUGGCGAAAGCGGCUCACUGGACCAUAACUGACGCUGAGGUGCGAAAGCGUGGGGAGCAAACAGG